This 253-nucleotide ribosomal RNA is filed under the name uncultured bacterium. RNAcentral's name for it is "partial 16S ribosomal RNA". It matches the Rfam family "Bacterial small subunit ribosomal RNA", at positions 524 to 776 of the family's 1533-position model. The record is from RNAcentral.
UACGUAGGUGGCAAGCGUUGUCCGGAUUUACUGGGCGUAAAGGCUGCGUAGGCGGAUACUUAAGUCAGAUGUGAAAAUCCCGGGCUUAACUUGGGAACUGCAUUUGAAACUGGGUAUCUAGAGUGCGGGAGAGGAAAGUGGAAUUCCUAGUGUAGCGGUGAAAUGCGUAGAGAUUAGGAAGAACACCAGUGGCGAAGGCGACUUUCUGGACCGUAACUGACGCUGAGGCAUGAAAGCGUGGGGAGCAAACAGG